This 454-nucleotide ribosomal RNA is filed under the name uncultured organism. RNAcentral describes it as "bacterial SSU rRNA". It matches the Rfam family "Bacterial small subunit ribosomal RNA", at positions 346 to 794 of the family's 1533-position model. The record is from RNAcentral.
GUGCAGCAGUCGCGAAUCUUCGGCAAUGGGGGAAACCCUGACCGAGCGACGCCGCGUGUGGGAUGAAGGCCCUUGGGUUGUAAACCACUGUCAGAGGGGAUGAAAUGCCGGAAAGUUAUCUCUCCGGUUUGACAUAGCCUCAGAGGAAGCACGGGCUAAGUUCGUGCCAGCAGCCGCGGUAAGACGAACUGUGCAAACGUUAUUCGGAAUCACUGGGCUUGAAGAGUGCGUAGGCGGUUUCGUAAGUAGGGUGUGAAAGCCCCCGGCUCAACCGGGGGAAUUGCGUCCUAAACUGCGAGGCUGGAGUGAGGUAGGGGUGUGUGGAACUUCCAGUGGAGCGGUGAAAUGUGUUGAUAUUGGAAGGAACGCCGGUGGCGAAAGCGACACACUGGACCUUGUCUGACGCUGAGGCACGAAAGCCAGGGGAGCAAACGGGAUUAGAUACCCGUGUAGU